CCUACGGGUGGCUGCAGUGAGGAAUAUUGGUCAAUGGCCGGAAGCCUGAACCAGCCAAGCCGCGUGAAGGAUGGAUGUCCCAUGCAUUGUAAACUUCUUUUGUCAAGGGACAAUAUCCGGCACGAGUACCUUGCCGAGUGUACUUUACGAAUAAGCAUCGGCUAACUCCGUGCCAGCAGCCGCGGUAAUACGGAGGAUGCGAGCGUUAUCCGGAUUUAUUGGGGUUAAAGGGAACGUAGGCGGUCUUUUAAGUCUGUUGUUAAAGCUUUCGGCUUAACCGGAGUAACGCAUUGGAUACUGGGAGGCUUGAGUGCAGAAGAGGUGGGUGGAACUAGAUGUGUAGCGGUGAAAUGCGUAGAUAUAUGGAAGAACACCGGUAGCGAAAGCAGCUCUCUAGACUGUAACUGACGCUGAGGUUCGAGAGCGUGGGUAGCAAACAGGAUUAGAUACCCGUGUAGUC
RNAcentral lists this ribosomal RNA (460 nucleotides) under uncultured bacterium. RNAcentral describes it as "partial 16S ribosomal RNA". It matches the Rfam family "Bacterial small subunit ribosomal RNA", at positions 338 to 795 of the family's 1533-position model. The record is from RNAcentral.